This 2923-nucleotide ribosomal RNA is filed under the name Klebsiella pneumoniae. Its description in RNAcentral is "bacterial LSU rRNA". It matches the Rfam family "Bacterial large subunit ribosomal RNA". The record is from RNAcentral. Lineage: Bacteria; Pseudomonadati; Pseudomonadota; Gammaproteobacteria; Enterobacterales; Enterobacteriaceae.
GGGUUGUGAGGUUAAGCGACUAAGCGUACACGGUGGAUGCCCUGGCAGUCAGAGGCGAUGAAGGACGUGCUAAUCUGCGAAAAGCGUCGGUAAGGUGAUAUGAACCGUUAUAACCGGCGAUGUCCGAAUGGGGAAACCCAGUGCAAUUCGUUGCACUAUCGUUAACUGAAUACAUAGGUUAACGAGGCGAACCGGGGGAACUGAAACAUCUAAGUACCCCGAGGAAAAGAAAUCAACCGAGAUUCCCCCAGUAGCGGCGAGCGAACGGGGAGCAGCCCAGAGUCUGAAUCAGCUUGUGUGUUAGUGGAACGGUCUGGAAAGUCCGACGGUACAGGGUGAUAGUCCCGUACACCAAAAUGCACAGGCUGUGAACUCGAAGAGUAGGGCGGGACACGUGGUAUCCUGUCUGAAUAUGGGGGGACCAUCCUCCAAGGCUAAAUACUCCUGACUGACCGAUAGUGAACCAGUACCGUGAGGGAAAGGCGAAAAGAACCCCGGCGAGGGGAGUGAAAAAGAACCUGAAACCGUGUACGUACAAGCAGUGGGAGCACCUUCGGGUGUGACUGCGUACCUUUUGUAUAAUGGGUCAGCGACUUAUAUUCUGUAGCAAGGUUAACCGUAUAGGGGAGCCGCAGGGAAACCGAGUCUUAACUGGGCGUUAAGUUGCAGGGUAUAGACCCGAAACCCGGUGAUCUAGCCAUGGGCAGGUUGAAGGUUGGGUAACACUAACUGGAGGACCGAACCGACUAAUGUUGAAAAAUUAGCGGAUGACUUGUGGCUGGGGGUGAAAGGCCAAUCAAACCGGGAGAUAGCUGGUUCUCCCCGAAAGCUAUUUAGGUAGCGCCUCGUGAAUUCAUCUUCGGGGGUAGAGCACUGUUUCGGCUAGGGGGUCAUCCCGACUUACCAACCCGAUGCAAACUACGAAUACCGAAGAAUGUUAUCACGGGAGACACACGGCGGGUGCUAACGUCCGUCGUGAAGAGGGAAACAACCCAGACCGCCAGCUAAGGUCCCAAAGUCAUGGUUAAGUGGGAAACGAUGUGGGAAGGCACAGACAGCCAGGAUGUUGGCUUAGAAGCAGCCAUCAUUUAAAGAAAGCGUAAUAGCUCACUGGUCGAGUCGGCCUGCGCGGAAGAUGUAACGGGGCUAAACCAUGCACCGAAGCUGCGGCAGCGACACUAUGUGUUGUUGGGUAGGGGAGCGUUCUGUAAGCCUGCGAAGGUGACCUGUGAGGGUUGCUGGAGGUAUCAGAAGUGCGAAUGCUGACAUAAGUAACGAUAAAGCGGGUGAAAAGCCCGCUCGCCGGAAGACCAAGGGUUCCUGUCCAACGUUAAUCGGGGCAGGGUGAGUCGACCCCUAAGGCGAGGCCGAAAGGCGUAGUCGAUGGGAAACAGGUUAAUAUUCCUGUACUUGGUGUUACUGCGAAGGGGGGACGGAGAAGGCUAUGUUAGCCGGGCGACGGUUGUCCCGGUUUAAGCAUGUAGGCUGAUUGUCCAGGCAAAUCCGGAUAAUCAAGGCUGAGGUGUGAUGACGAGGCACUACGGUGCUGAAGUAACAAAUGCCCUGCUUCCAGGAAAAGCCUCUAAGCAUCAGGUAACAUCAAAUCGUACCCCAAACCGACACAGGUGGUCAGGUAGAGAAUACCAAGGCGCUUGAGAGAACUCGGGUGAAGGAACUAGGCAAAAUGGUGCCGUAACUUCGGGAGAAGGCACGCUGGUGUGUAGGUGAAGUCCCUGCGGAUGGAGCUGAGACCAGUCGAAGAUACCAGCUGGCUGCAACUGUUUAUUAAAAACACAGCACUGUGCAAACACGAAAGUGGACGUAUACGGUGUGACGCCUGCCCGGUGCCGGAAGGUUAAUUGAUGGGGUUAUCCGUAAGGAGAAGCUCUUGAUCGAAGCCCCGGUAAACGGCGGCCGUAACUAUAACGGUCCUAAGGUAGCGAAAUUCCUUGUCGGGUAAGUUCCGACCUGCACGAAUGGCGUAAUGAUGGCCAGGCUGUCUCCACCCGAGACUCAGUGAAAUUGAACUCGCUGUGAAGAUGCAGUGUACCCGCGGCAAGACGGAAAGACCCCGUGAACCUUUACUAUAGCUUGACACUGAACAUUGAGCCUUGAUGUGUAGGAUAGGUGGGAGGCUUUGAAGCGUGGACGCCAGUCUGCGUGGAGCCAACCUUGAAAUACCACCCUUUAAUGUUUGAUGUUCUAACGUUGGCCCCUUACCGGGGUUGCGGACAGUGUCUGGUGGGUAGUUUGACUGGGGCGGUCUCCUCCCAAAGCGUAACGGAGGAGCACGAAGGUUAGCUAAUCCUGGUCGGACAUCAGGAGGUUAGUGCAAUGGCAUAAGCUAGCUUGACUGCGAGCGUGACGGCGCGAGCAGGUGCGAAAGCAGGUCAUAGUGAUCCGGUGGUUCUGAAUGGAAGGGCCAUCGCUCAACGGAUAAAAGGUACUCCGGGGAUAACAGGCUGAUACCGCCCAAGAGUUCAUAUCGACGGCGGUGUUUGGCACCUCGAUGUCGGCUCAUCACAUCCUGGGGCUGAAGUAGGUCCCAAGGGUAUGGCUGUUCGCCAUUUAAAGUGGUACGCGAGCUGGGUUUAGAACGUCGUGAGACAGUUCGGUCCCUAUCUGCCGUGGGCGCUGGAGAAUUGAGGGGGGCUGCUCCUAGUACGAGAGGACCGGAGUGGACGCAUCACUGGUGUUCGGGUUGUCAUGCCAAUGGCACUGCCCGGUAGCUAAAUGCGGAAGAGAUAAGUGCUGAAAGCAUCUAAGCACGAAACUUGCCCCGAGAUGAGUUCUCCCUGAGACUUUAAGUCUCCUGAAGGAACGUUAAAGACGAUGACGUUGAUAGGCCGGGUGUGUAAGCGCAGCGAUGCGUUGAGCUAACCGGUACUAAUGAACCGUGAGGCUUAACCUUACAACGCCGAAG